UACGAAGGGUGCGAGCGUUAAUCGGAAUUACUGGGCGUAAAGUGUGCGCAGGCGGCCGCGCAAGUCGAGUGUGAAAGCCCCGAGCUUAACUUGGGAAUUGCGCUCGAAACUACGUGGCUGGAGUGUGGCAGAGGAAGGUGGAAUUCCACGUGUAGCGGUGAAAUGCGUAGAGAUGUGGAGGAACACCAAUGGCGAAGGCAGCCUUCUGGGCCAACACUGACGCUCAUGCACGAAAGCGUGGGGAGCAAACAGG
RNAcentral lists this ribosomal RNA (253 nucleotides) under uncultured bacterium. Its description in RNAcentral is "partial 16S ribosomal RNA". It matches the Rfam family "Bacterial small subunit ribosomal RNA", at positions 524 to 776 of the family's 1533-position model. The record is from RNAcentral.